UAUUUGCUUUCAAAAUCUGCAUAAAGGCUCUUGAGUUCAAAUGUUCAAAUUUGUUUUUAGUUUUCCAGUGAAUUGCAGCAGUGUUCAUGGCACACUGAAAAAAUGCAGGAGUAUUUAGCUUUCCUUCAAGAUAUGAAGCUUCCUUUAGAUAACCAGGAAUCUGUGGAUAGCAAUCUAGAAGCUUUAAAAAAUCAACUUAAACAAUUAGAGACAUUCAAGUUGAGACUGUCUCCAGUUGCUGUGAUUUUAAGAAAGGAUAUGAAAUUGGCAGAAGACUUCUCAAAGUCUCUUCCCAGUGAUUUUCCUAGAAGGUAUCUUGAAGAAUUAAAUUUGAGCCACCAGAGUUUGCAGACUGCCUUCUCUUCCCUGAGCAACAUGUCUUCAGAAAGAAUGAAACAGAUCAUGCUUGCAAUUGACUCUGAAAUGUCCAAACUAGAAGUUUCCUAUGAAGAAUUUCUGCAUAAACUUAAGUCAUUCUCAGAAUUGAUAUCAGAGAGGAGCAGAUCUGUGAAGGAUCUUAAGACCAUGAAAGCUGAAGAUACUGAAAAUGUAAAGAAAAAUUUGGAGUUUCUUAAGGCAAGUGUCAAAGUAAAUAUGGCAAAGGACAUUACAAAACCUGUGGAUUUAAUAUAAGUA
This 636-nucleotide long non-coding RNA is filed under the name Chinchilla lanigera (long-tailed chinchilla). Its description in RNAcentral is "lncRNA (ENSCLAG00000022547.1)". The record is from RNAcentral. Lineage: Eukaryota; Metazoa; Chordata; Mammalia; Rodentia; Chinchillidae.